CCCUUAGAUGUUCUGGGAUGCACGCGCGUUACACUGAUUCGUUCAACGAGUUUAUGACCUUGCCUGAUGAGGUGGGGGAAUCUUUUCAAAUCGCAUCGUGAUGGGGAUAGAGUAUUGUAACUGUUAGUCUUCAACGAGGAAUUCCUAGUAAGUACGUGUCAUCAGCUCGUACUGAUUAUGUCCCUGCCCUUUGUACACACCGCCCGUCGCUCCUACCGAUUGAGUGCUCAGGUGAAUAGUAUGGACUGCAUCAGUGUUCGGUCUCCGAAUGUUGACGCGAGAAAUUCUGUGAAUCUUAUUGCUUAGAGGAAGGUGAAGUCGUAACA
RNAcentral lists this ribosomal RNA (326 nucleotides) under uncultured eukaryote. RNAcentral's name for it is "partial 18S ribosomal RNA". It matches the Rfam family "Eukaryotic small subunit ribosomal RNA", at positions 1470 to 1796 of the family's 1831-position model. The record is from RNAcentral.